RNAcentral lists this ribosomal RNA (301 nucleotides) under uncultured bacterium. Its description in RNAcentral is "partial 16S ribosomal RNA". It matches the Rfam family "Bacterial small subunit ribosomal RNA", at positions 509 to 807 of the family's 1533-position model. The record is from RNAcentral.
CAGCCGCCACGGUAAUACGUAGGGUGCGAGCGUUAAUCGGAAUUACUGGGCGUAAAGCGUGCGCAGGCGGUUUUGUAAGACAGGCGUGAAAUCCCCGGGCUCAACCUGGGAAUGGCGCUUGUGACUGCUAAGCUAGAGUGCGGCAGAGGGGGAUGGAAUUCCGCGUGUAGCAGUGAAAUGCGUAGAUAUGCGGAGGAACACCGAUGGCGAAGGCAAUCCCCUGGGCCUGCACUGACGCUCAUGCACGAAAGCGUGGGGAGCAAACAGGAUUAGAUACCCCCGUAGUCCCUGUCUCUUAUAC